This 491-nucleotide ribosomal RNA is filed under the name uncultured bacterium. RNAcentral describes it as "partial 16S ribosomal RNA". It matches the Rfam family "Bacterial small subunit ribosomal RNA", at positions 71 to 568 of the family's 1533-position model. The record is from RNAcentral.
AAUAAAUAAUAAUAAAUAAAAGUGGACGUAAUGGUGAAGUAAGAAAAAGUAAUUUAUUUUUUUUAGUUUGGAGUAUAAAUACAAAUAAAUAUUACUUUUUAAGAUUAGAAAGAUUAAUUUCGACUAAAAAAAAGCUUUUUAAAAAUUAGAUAGUUGGUUCGUUUGAUAGACAACCAAGUCGUAUUUUUAGUUGAUCUGAAAGGAUGUACAACCACAUUGGGGAUGAAGAACACCCAAAUUUUUUUCGGAAAUCAGCAGUGAGGAAUAUUGGACAAUGAGCGGAAGCUUGAUCCAGCAAGAUCCCGUGAGUGAAGAAGGAGUUUUUUGUAAAGUCGAAGAAAUGGUCCAUAGUUAGUUUUUGGGCGUUGUGUCUGUUUUAUAGCUCUUAUAAUGACGGUAGCUAUAUAUGAAAGCCCCGGCUAACUUCGUGCCAGCAGCCGCGGUAAUACGGAGGGGGCUAGUGUUACUCAUAUUGAUUCGGUGUAAAGGGU